Molecule: ribosomal RNA, 1325 nt
Filed under: metagenome
Description: bacterial LSU rRNA
Rfam family: Bacterial large subunit ribosomal RNA
Source: RNAcentral
AGUGGAUGGGGAGCAACCUAGUUGUGCGUGUGUAAAGGUAGUGCCAAGAAAAGCGAUGAUCAUAUUGAAAAUCAAUUCCCGGUACCCGAAACCGACACAGGUGGGCAAGUAGAGAAUACUAAGGGGCGCGAGGUAACUCUCUCCAAGGAACUCGGCAAAAUGACCCCGUAACUUAGGGAGAAGGGGUGCCACCGAGAGGUGGUCGCAGUGAAGAGGCCCAGGCGACUGUUUAGCAAAAACAUAGGUCUCUGCAAACUCGAAAGAGGAGGUAUAGGGGCUGACGCCUGCCCAGUGCCGGAAGGUUAAAGAAGUUGGUCAGUCUUAGGAUGAAGCUAGCGACUGAAGCCCCGGUGAACGGCGGCCGUAACUAUAACGGUCCUAAGGUAGCGAAAUUCCUUGUCGGGUAAGUUCCGACCCGCACGAAAGGCGUAACGAUCUGGGCGCUGUCUCGGAGAGAGGCUCGGCGAAAUAGGAUUGUCUGUGAAGAUACGGACUACCUGCAUUUGGACAGAAAGACCCUAUGAAGCUUUACUAUAGCUUGGAAUUGUGUUCGGGCUUCCUGUGCGCAGGAUAGGUGGGAGGCGAAGAAGGUAUUCUUGUGGGGAUACUGGAGCCAACGGUGAGAUACCACUCUCAGGAGGCUAGAAUUCUAACUUAAUUAAGGACAGUUUCAGGUGGGUAGUUUGACUGGGGCGGUCGCCUCCAAAAAGGUAACGGAGGCGUACAAAGGUUCCCUCAGACUGGUUGGAAAUCAGUCGAAGAGUGCAAAGGCAGAAGGGAGCUUGACUGCGAGAAGUACAGUUCGAGCAGGGUGGAAACACGGUCUUAGUGAUCCGACGGUGCUGUGUGGAAGGGCCGUCGCUCAACGGAUAAAAGUUACUCUAGGAUAACAGGCUGAUCUCCCCCAAGAGUUCACAUCGACGGGGAGGUUUGGCACCUCGAUGUCGGCUCAUCGCAACCUGGGGCGGAAGUACGUCCCAAGGGUUGGGCUGUUCGCCCAUUAAAGCGGUACGUGGGCUGGGUUCAGAACGUCGUGAGACAGUUCGGUCCAUAUCCGAUGUAGGCGUGAGAAUAUUGAGAGGAGCCUUCCUUAGUACGAGAGGACCGGGAAGGACGCACCGCUGGUGUACCUGUUAUGAUGCCAAUUGUAAACGCAGGGUAGCCAAGUGCGGAGAGGAUAACCGCUGAAAGCAUCUAAGUGGGAAGCCCACCUCAAGAUGAGUAUUCUGGUGUAAGGUCACGGGAAGACGACCCGUAAAUAGGCACGAGGUGGAAGUGCAGAGAUGUAUGAAGCCGAAGUGUACUAAUAGACCGUCGGCUUGACC